GUGCUCACUUUGGCAGCACAUACACUAAAACUGGAACAGAGAAGGUCAGCAUGGCCCCUGUGCAAGAAAUUGAGUAAGAGUCUGAACAGUUAGUG
Molecule: small nuclear RNA, 95 nt
Organism: Panthera pardus (leopard)
Lineage: Eukaryota; Metazoa; Chordata; Mammalia; Carnivora; Felidae
Source: Ensembl